This 462-nucleotide ribosomal RNA is filed under the name uncultured Planctomyces sp. RNAcentral describes it as "bacterial SSU rRNA". It matches the Rfam family "Bacterial small subunit ribosomal RNA", at positions 338 to 795 of the family's 1533-position model. The record is from RNAcentral. Lineage: Bacteria; Pseudomonadati; Planctomycetota; Planctomycetia; Planctomycetales; Planctomycetaceae.
CCUACGGGCGGCUGCAGUCGAGAAUCUUCGGCAAUGGGCGCAAGCCUGACCGAGCGACGCCGCGUGUGGGAUGAAGGCCCUUGGGUUGUAAACCACUGUCAGAGGGGAUGAAAUGCGGGUGGGUUCUCCCAUCCGUUUGACAUAGCCUCAGAGGAAGCACGGGCUAAGUUCGUGCCAGCAGCCGCGGUAAUACGAACUGUGCAAACGUUAUUCGGAAUCACUGGGCUUAAAGGGUGCGUAGGCGGCCAUGUAAGUAGGGUGUGAAAGCCCCCGGCUUAACCGGGGAAUGGCGCUCUAAACUGCAUGGCUGGAGUGAGAUAGGGGUGUGUGGAACUUCCGGUGGAGCGGUGAAAUGUGUUGAUAUCGGAAGGAACGCCGGUGGCGAAAGCGGCACACUGGAUCUCAACUGACGCUGAGGCGCGAAAGCCAGGGGAGCAAACGGGAUUAGAUACCCCGGUAGUC